This 301-nucleotide ribosomal RNA is filed under the name uncultured bacterium. Its description in RNAcentral is "partial 16S ribosomal RNA". It matches the Rfam family "Bacterial small subunit ribosomal RNA", at positions 509 to 807 of the family's 1533-position model. The record is from RNAcentral.
CAGCAGCCACGGGAAUACAGAGGGUGCAAGCGUUAAUCGGAAUUACUGGGCGUAAAGCGCGCGUAGGUGGUUUGUUAAGUUGGAUGUGAAAUCCCCGGGCUCAACCUGGGAACUGCAUCCAAAACUGGCAAGCUAGAGUAUGGUAGAGGGUGGUGGAAUUUCCUGUGUAGCGGUGAAAUGCGUAGAUAUAGGAAGGAACACCAGUGGCGAAGGCGACCACCUGGACUGAUACUGACACUGAGGUGCGAAAGCGUGGGGAGCAAACAGGAUUAGAGACCCCGGUAGUCCCUGUCUCUUAUAC